This 588-nucleotide long non-coding RNA is filed under the name Homo sapiens (human). RNAcentral's name for it is "non-protein coding lnc-FNIP1-2:1". The record is from RNAcentral. Lineage: Eukaryota; Metazoa; Chordata; Mammalia; Primates; Hominidae.
CUCAAGUGAUCCUCCCACUUUGGCCUCCCAAAGUGCUGGGAUUACAAGUGUGAGCCACCACGCCUGGCCUGCAUUUUAUUCCUGAUAGUUUUUGGUUGCUUGUUCAUCCUUGAGAGCCUGGGGCCUGAGGGAACUCACCACACUGGAGGGAAAGGCCAUGGGCAAGGUCUAAUGCUGUGCUGGCUUCAGGUCUGACCCAGCUUAGUCCCAUUGGUGGUGGUCACAGGGGUGCUUGGAUCACCAUACCCUCAGUUCCAGGUGGCUCAGCAAAGAGAGAUAGAGAUUCCAUUUGUUUAGGAGAAAGUAAGGGAAAAGAACAGAAGUCUCUGCCUAGGAAUCCAGAUAAUUUUUCCAUAUCUUAUCCAACACUACCAAGGUGGUACUACCAAGGUGGUACUGCUACAAGUCUGCAAAGACCAGUGUUACUUGGCUUGGGGCCCAAGUCCCUUGGAAUACUUAAGAAGCCUUCCCAAGAAGGACAGGCAUAAACAAAUCCAGACUGUAAAGACUACAAUAAAUACCUAAUUCUUGAAUGCCCAUACAUUGAUGAACAUCUAUAAGCACCAGCAUCAUCCAGGAGAACAUGAC